CCCUCUCCCUCUCUUAGUUUGCACAAUUGUGUGCGCAACAAGGCAUAAAAUAUGCACAAGAAUAAGGUAAAACAAUACAGCCAUACAGGAGAAUCGAUAGACAAAUAAAAAAUGUUCAAGGAUCCUAAAAUGGCAAUCAAACCAUUCUAUAAUUUUUUCCUACCAAAAAGAAAAUCAUUCUAUAAUUUGUGUUAGAGGAGAGGAUAUGAUGGGUCCCACGAAUGGUGGGACGUUGUCGAGGAAAAAAUAAUGUUACCAUGGGAGCCACGCAACGCGUUCCAUACCAUCUUAGUUUGCUGGCAAGGGCUCCACUUCGGCCCCGUUUUAGAACUUCCAUUGACGGUGAUGCCUCUCCUGGACAUUAUUGAGAUGAAUUCAAAUUUGGCCCACAA
RNAcentral lists this long non-coding RNA (392 nucleotides) under Elaeis guineensis (African oil palm). RNAcentral's name for it is "long non-coding RNA (EGUI_LNC030428)". The record is from RNAcentral. Lineage: Eukaryota; Viridiplantae; Streptophyta; Magnoliopsida; Arecales; Arecaceae.